UCUGUCAUAGAUCAUCUAUUUAACAGGAUUGCCACUCUGACUGAAAUGUUUUUCAUUCAAGCCUUAAAAAAGAAAAUAAUCAUUUUUCUAAAUGAAUUUUUCAGAGGGCCAGACUGAAGUCCCCUGCGGGUUGCAAGUGGCCCGUGGGCCACCAGCUGAAUAUGCCCGACGUAUAAUCAAAAAAUGAUGCAUUUGUGUGAAUUACUCUAAACUGUUCGGAUUUUUUUGCAGAAACAACCAAUCCACUUCGGUGAAGGUUUGAACUAGCCUUGAGCUCAUCAGUGAGACCAGAGUUAAAGUAUGUUCAACAGCUGCAGCUCUGUCCUCACCUGUGUGAGCGUCCCGAUGGAAAGACCCCAGCUCUGUGUUGUUGAGCAGCGACGGCACAAGUUUACGCUCAAGUCAUUCCCACAGGAUGGUGACAGAAGUGCCACACUUCCACUAAUAACCUGUCAACAGGCCAGAAGAGUAGAUGUGGCAUCAAUAUGUCUGCUCUGAAAACAGGGCCAGAUGGACAGUUGUUGGGGGCUUUACCUAGAGGUUGACUGAGAAAAAGGUGGGCCUGGCUGAAAARGUGUGUGAAAUUUAACCCAACUUGUAAAAUGCUUGGACAGUGAAACUUUGUUCACUUGUUGUCUACAACAGUUACUGAUCUAUUAUAUUGUUAUAACUGCUAUCUCUAGCUUAUAUUUGUCUGAAAUUUAAAA
Long non-coding RNA from Austrofundulus limnaeus, 707 nucleotides. RefSeq lists it as uncharacterized. The transcript is spliced from 3 exons. The record is from RefSeq and is a predicted model, not a curated record. Lineage: Eukaryota; Metazoa; Chordata; Actinopteri; Cyprinodontiformes; Rivulidae.